This 371-nucleotide ribosomal RNA is filed under the name uncultured organism. RNAcentral describes it as "bacterial SSU rRNA". It matches the Rfam family "Bacterial small subunit ribosomal RNA", at positions 526 to 896 of the family's 1533-position model. The record is from RNAcentral.
CGUAGGGUGCGAGCGUUAAUCGGAAUUACUGGGCGUAAAGCGUGCGCAGGCGGCGCGUUAAGACAGGUGUGAAAGCCCGAGCUUAACUUGGGAAUUGCGCUUGUGACUGGCGUGCUGGAGUGUGGCAGAGGGAGGUGGAAUUCCACGUGUAGCAGUGAAAUGCGUAGAGAUGUGGAGGAACACCGAUGGCGAAGGCAGCCUCCUGGGCCAGCACUGACGCUCAUGCACGAAAGCGUGGGGAGCAAACAGGAUUAGAUACCCUGGUAGUCCACGCCCUAAACGAUGUCAACUGGUUGUUGGUGGGGUUAAACCCAUUAGUAACGAAGCUAACGCGUGAAGUUGACCGCCUGGGGAGUACGGCCGCAAGGUUA